RNAcentral lists this transfer RNA (72 nucleotides) under Ovis aries (sheep). It matches the Rfam family "tRNA". From Rfam's summary of the family: Transfer RNA (tRNA) molecules are approximately 80 nucleotides in length. Their secondary structure includes four short double-helical elements and three loops (D, anti-codon, and T loops). Lineage: Eukaryota; Metazoa; Chordata; Mammalia; Artiodactyla; Bovidae. The record is from Rfam by way of RNAcentral.
UUCCCUGUAGCUCAGAUGGUAAAGAAUCUGCCUGCAACGCAGAACACCCAGGUUCGACCCCUGGGUUGGAAA